CCUACGGGAGGCAGCAGUGAGGAAUAUUGGUCAAUGGACGCAAGUCUGAACCAGCCAUGCCGCGUGCAGGAAGACGGCUCUAUGAGUUGUAAACUGCUUUUGUACGAGGGUAAACUCAGAUACGCGUAUCUUUCUGAAAGUAUCGUACGAAUAAGGAUCGGCUAACUCCGUGCCAGCAGCCGCGGUAAUCCGGAGGAUUCAAGCGUUAUCCGGAUUUAUUGGGUUUAAGGGGUGCGUAGGCGGUCGGAUAAGUUAGAGGUGAAAUCCCGAGGCUCAACUUCGGAAUUGCCUCUGAUACUGUUCGGCUAGAGAGUAGUUGCGGUAGGCGGAAUGUAUGGUGUAGCGGUGAAAUGCUUAGAGAUCAUACAGAACACCGAUUGCGAAGGCAGCUUACCAAGCUACUUCUGACGUUGAGGCACGAAAGCGUGGGGAGCAAACAGGAUUAGAUACCCUAGUAGUC
Molecule: ribosomal RNA, 460 nt
Filed under: uncultured bacterium
Lineage: Bacteria
Description: partial 16S ribosomal RNA
Rfam family: Bacterial small subunit ribosomal RNA
Source: RNAcentral